RNAcentral lists this transfer RNA (68 nucleotides) under Marmota monax (woodchuck). Its description in RNAcentral is "tRNA.Ala". The record is from RNAcentral. Lineage: Eukaryota; Metazoa; Chordata; Mammalia; Rodentia; Sciuridae.
GGAUUGUGGCUCAAGGGUAGAACACUUGCCUAGCACAUGUGAGGCUCUGGGUUCGAUCCCCAGCACCA